Molecule: ribosomal RNA, 305 nt
Filed under: uncultured bacterium
Lineage: Bacteria
Description: bacterial SSU rRNA
Rfam family: Bacterial small subunit ribosomal RNA
Source: RNAcentral
GUUUCCUACGGGAGGCAGCAGUGGGGAAUAUUGCACAAUGGGGGAAACCCUGAUGCAGCAACGCCGCGUGAGUGAGGAAGUAUUUCGGUAUGUAAAGCUCUAUCAGCAGGGAAUAGAAAAGAAGGUACCUGAAAAAGAAGCCCCGGCUAACUACGUGCCAGCAGCCGCGGUAAUACGUAGGGGGCAAGCGUUAUCCGGAUUUAUUGGGUGUAAAGGGCGUGUAGGCGGGAGCGCAAGUCAGAUGUGAAAACUCAGGGCUCAACCCUGAGCCUGCAUUUGAAACUGUGUUUCUUGAGUGCUGGAGG